This 1017-nucleotide ribosomal RNA is filed under the name uncultured organism. RNAcentral's name for it is "bacterial SSU rRNA". It matches the Rfam family "Bacterial small subunit ribosomal RNA", at positions 355 to 1375 of the family's 1533-position model. The record is from RNAcentral.
UGAGGAAUAUUGGUCAAUGGACGAGAGUCUGAACCAGCCAAGUAGCGUGAAGGAUGACUGCCCUAUGGGUUGUAAACUUCUUUUAUACGGGAAUAAAGUGAGGCACGUGUGCCUUUUUGUAUGUACCGUAUGAAUAAGGAUCGGCUAACUCCGUGCCAGCAGCCGCGGUAAUACGGAGGAUCCGAGCGUUAUCCGGAUUUAUUGGGUUUAAAGGGAGCGUAGGCGGACGCUUAAGUCAGUUGUGAAAGUUUGCGGCUCAACCGUAAAAUUGCAGUUGAUACUGGGUGUCUUGAGUACAGUAGAGGCAGGCGGAAUUCGUGGUGUAGCGGUGAAAUGCUUAGAUAUCACGAAGAACUCCGAUUGCGAAGGCAGCCUGCUGGACUGUAACUGACGCUGAUGCUCGAAAGUGUGGGUAUCAAACAGGAUUAGAUACCCUGGUAGUCCACACAGUAAACGAUGAAUACUCGCUGUUUGCGAUAUACAGUAAGCGGCCAAGCGAAAGCGUUAAGUAUUCCACCUGGGGAGUACGCCGGCAACGGUGAAACUCAAAGGAAUUGACGGGGGCCCGCACAAGCGGAGGAACAUGUGGUUUAAUUCGAUGAUACGCGAGGAACCUUACCCGGGCUUGAAUUGCAACUGAAUGAUGUGGAGACAUGUCAGCCGCAAGGCAGUUGUGAAGGUGCUGCAUGGUUGUCGUCAGCUCGUGCCGUGAGGUGUCGGCUUAAGUGCCAUAACGAGCGCAACCCUUAUCGAUAGUUACCAUCAGGUUAUGCUGGGGACUCUGUCGAGACUGCCGUCGUAAGAUGUGAGGAAGGUGGGGAUGACGUCAAAUCAGCACGGCCCUUACGUCCGGGGCUACACACGUGUUACAAUGGGGGGUACAGAAGGCAGCUACACGGCGACGUGAUGCUAAUCCCGAAAGCCUCUCUCAGUUCGGAUUGGAGUCUGCAACCCGACUCCAUGAAGCUGGAUUCGCUAGUAAUCGCGCAUCAGCCACGGCGCGGUGAAUACGUUCCC